RNAcentral lists this ribosomal RNA (253 nucleotides) under uncultured bacterium. Its description in RNAcentral is "partial 16S ribosomal RNA". It matches the Rfam family "Bacterial small subunit ribosomal RNA", at positions 524 to 776 of the family's 1533-position model. The record is from RNAcentral.
UACAGAGGUCUCAAGCGUUGUUCGGAUUCAUUGGGCGUAAAGGGUGCGUAGGUGGCGCUGUAAGUCGGGUGUGAAAUUUCGGAGCUUAACUCCGAAACUGCAUUCGAUACUGCGGUGCUUGAGGACUGGAGAGGAGACUGGAAUUCAUGGUGUAGCAGUGAAAUGCGUAGAGAUCAUGAGGAAGACCAGUGGCGAAGGCGGGUCUCUGGACAGUAACUGACGCUGAGGAGCGAAAGCGUGGGGAGCGAACAGG